GAUGAACGCUGGCGGCGUGCUUAACACAUGCAAGUCGAGCGAUGAAGUUUCCUUCGGGAAAUGGAUUAGCGGCGGACGGGUGAGUAACACGUGGGUAACCUGCCUCAUAGAGUGGAAUAGCCUUCCGAAAGGAAGAUUAAUACCGCAUAAUGUUGAAAGAUGGCAUCAUCAUUUAACCAAAGGAGCAAUCCGCUAUGAGAUGGACCCGCGGCGCAUUAGCUAGUUGGUGGGGUAACGGCCUACCAAGGCGACGAUGCGUAGCCGACCUGAGAGGGUGAUCGGCCACAUUGGGACUGAGACACGGCCCAGACUCCUACGGGAGGCAGCAGUGGGGAAUAUUGCACAAUGGGGGAAACCCUGAUGCAGCAACGCCGCGUGAGUGAUGAAGGUUUUCGGAUCGUAAAGCUCUGU
This 411-nucleotide ribosomal RNA is filed under the name uncultured bacterium. RNAcentral's name for it is "bacterial SSU rRNA". It matches the Rfam family "Bacterial small subunit ribosomal RNA", at positions 28 to 436 of the family's 1533-position model. The record is from RNAcentral.